GACGAACGCUGGCGGCGUGCUUAACACAUGCAAGUCGUACGGUAAGGCCCUUUCGGGGGUACACGAGUGGCGAACGGGUGAGUAACACGUGAGUAACCUGCCCACAACUUUGGGAUAACGCUAGGAAACUGGUGCUAAUACUGGAUAUGUGCUCCUGCUGCAUGGUGGGGGUUGGAAAGCUCCGGCGGUUGUGGAUGGACUCGCGGCCUAUCAGCUUGUUGGUGGGGUAGUGGCCUACCAAGGCGGCGACGGGUAGCCGGCCUGAGAGGGUGACCGGCCACAUUGGGACUGAGAUACGGCCCAGACUCCUACGGGAGGCAGAAGUGGGGAAUAUUGCACAAUGGGCGCAAGCCUGAUGCAGCAACGCCGCGUGCGGGAGGACGGCCUUCGGGUUGUAAACCGCUUUCAGCAGGGACGAAGCUUUUUGUGACGGUACCUGCAGAAGAAGCACCGGCUAACUACGUG
RNAcentral lists this ribosomal RNA (465 nucleotides) under uncultured bacterium. RNAcentral's name for it is "partial 16S ribosomal RNA". It matches the Rfam family "Bacterial small subunit ribosomal RNA", at positions 28 to 507 of the family's 1533-position model. The record is from RNAcentral.